GAGGGGAAUCUGAUCAGCCCGCCGCGUGCGUGAAGAAGGCCCUCGGGUUUGUUAAGCACUUUUUAUAUUGGAAAAAAAGCACCGGGUUUGCCCCUGGUGUUGUCGGGUACCGGUCUGAAUAAACUCCGACUAACUCCACUUCAUGCCCCGCGCCUAAUACGAUACGA
RNAcentral lists this ribosomal RNA (167 nucleotides) under uncultured Halomonas sp. RNAcentral's name for it is "partial 16S ribosomal RNA". The record is from RNAcentral. Lineage: Bacteria; Pseudomonadati; Pseudomonadota; Gammaproteobacteria; Oceanospirillales; Halomonadaceae.